UACGUAGGGGGCAAGCGUUAUCCGGAUUUACUGGGCGUAAAGCGUCCGUAGGUGGUUUGUUAAGUCAGGGGUGAAAUCCCGGGGCCCAACCCCGGAACUGCCUUUGAUACUGGCAAGCUGGAGCGUGAUAGAGGAAGAUGGAAUAUCUGGUGUAGGGGUGAAAUCCGUAGAUAUCAGAUGGAACACCAAUGGCGAAGGCAGUCUUCUGGAUCGUCGCUGACACUGAGGGACGAAAGCGUGGGUAGCAAACAGA
Molecule: ribosomal RNA, 253 nt
Filed under: uncultured Alphaproteobacteria bacterium
Lineage: Bacteria; Pseudomonadati; Pseudomonadota; Alphaproteobacteria
Description: partial 16S ribosomal RNA
Rfam family: Bacterial small subunit ribosomal RNA
Source: RNAcentral